GGAGACUCUAAGACUUCUGAAGAGUUUCUUGCUUCUUUCCUGUGGGGCAGUGACUCCACUUCCCAGCAGUAAUGGAAUAUCCUGAAUUAGCUACAUUAAUGUUAGAACCAUUUGGACCUCACCCAGGACUUCAACUACAUUAUGGUUAAGACAGAGAAUCUGAAGACUGCAUACCUGACCUCUCGUUUUUACCUACCCACCCACCCACACCCAAAUAUUUCUACUGGACUAUAAUUUAUUGUGACGCCCCCAUUUCCACUGCAGGAUGUUAUAAGAAAUGAGACUCACUACUGAAUUCACAGCAGGCAUGGUUGAAGGCACCAUUCACUAUAGCUUGCAGUGUUCCCUUUAUGAGAUUUGUAUGAGAAAUUCCUCUCAUAGGUCAAGUUCUUGGGAGAAAAUUCUCCCAAAGAGCAAGUCCCAGGAAAAUCUUGGCUGCUAAAGUUACAGAACCCAAAUUUGGCAACUGUCUGCAUCUGAACAACAGAAGUUUCAACAUUCUGCCAACAGAGUAACUCCUGGACGAUUGGCACAGAAGAAGGCACAAGGCAAAUACCCAUCUCUGUACACCCUGUGCUACUGUGUCAUGUGCUGCUCCAGGCAACUCCAAUGGAUUGGCCACCCUGGCCAAUGUGUUCUAGUAUGUUACGUUUAUGUUCCCCUGCUUUCUACAAUCCUGUUCAAAGAGUUGCUGACUUAACCACAGAGAGGAUUCCAGAACCUGAGACACAGAAUAAACUUGAGCAAUCAUAGUCCAUCCACUUCAUUGUCUCAUCAAAAACCAAAGGUCCAGUGAAGCUCUGGAACUCAACGCUGUAAAGGAGCGAAGGAGCUUCUAUACAGAGCCUGGAUGCCUGUCUCCUUAUCCUACUUCAGUGGACUUGACUGCAAUCCGGAUUA
This is a long non-coding RNA of Homo sapiens (human), 900 nucleotides long. Ensembl annotates it as STARD13 antisense RNA. Its record names the gene STARD13-AS. The record is from Ensembl. Lineage: Eukaryota; Metazoa; Chordata; Mammalia; Primates; Hominidae.